RNAcentral lists this long non-coding RNA (930 nucleotides) under Ananas comosus (pineapple). RNAcentral describes it as "long non-coding RNA (ACOM_LNC003126)". Lineage: Eukaryota; Viridiplantae; Streptophyta; Magnoliopsida; Poales; Bromeliaceae. The record is from RNAcentral.
UCUAACCCUAUUGGCGGCAAUCUGGUGGAUCGUCUGGACAGAAAGAAACAGCAUUAUCUUCAGAUCGAAUCAUCCUAACGCUACCCAAGCUUUCAAACGUGUCAAAAUCCUGUUGAACGCUUGGAUCGAGCUCCUUUGACUCGUCUACGUCUUGUCUUUCUUUCGCUUACUCCUCCUUUCCCCCUCUCCCCUUUCCUAUUUUUCCUCUUUUCCCUUAAGUUUUUUAUUACUGUUUUAUUACUGUUUUUUUUCUUACUUGUUUUAAGGAGGCCCUAGCUACUUCCACCCUGUACGCUUAGUUUAUUUUGCUUAAUUAAUAAAUGAAACAGGCAGCUCACUACCUCUUUCUCCAAAAAAAAAAAAAAGAAAAAGAUGUAAGGUGAAAUUUUAUAGGAGGGGAAUAUUUUACCAUCCUUUAACCUCCAACAAUGCAAAAUUAUAAAGCUAAGAGAAACUAAGUUACAGUUAAAAGAGGUCAAAGGGAAAAUAUUAAAAAAUAAGAGAAUUUUAAAUCUUCUUACAUCAUUCUUUUAUUUUCUCUGCGCCCUUACUUUUUUCUCAUUUUCUUUCUCUUCACUUUCUCUCUCACACUUUCUCUCUCCUUUCUUUCUCUUUCUUUAUUUUUUUCUCUACUUUCUCUCUAAUCUCUCCCUUCGCUUUAGCUCCUUUCACCUUCUCUCGUUAUCCCUUUAUCUCUCAUCACAUUCUUUCCUCUUAUUUAAAUUUCUCUCUCAUCACUUUCUCUCUCAUCCCUUUCUUUUUCAUUUCUCUUUUUUGUAUUCUCUAUUCACUUCUCUCUCCUCCCCUUUUCUCAUUUUCUCUUUUAUCUCUCCUUACUUUCAUUUUCUUUCUUCUCUCUCUCCUCAUUUUCAUUCAUGAUACAACCAAAUAUCAUUGAAGAAAAACUGUUUAUAGGAGUAAUGUUUACUC